CCUACGGGUGGCAGCAGUGGGGAAUAUUGCACAAUGGGGGCAACUCUGAUGCAGCAACGCCGCGUGAAGGAAGACGGCUUUCGGAUUGUAAAAUUCUGUUCGUAGUGAAGAAUACUGACGGUAGCUAAGCAGCAAGCCAGUGCCAACUAAGUACCAGCAGCCGCAGUAAUAGGUAGGUGGCACGCGUUGUCCGGAUUUACUGGGUGUAAAGGGAGCGCAGGCGGGAAGACAAGUCAGCUGUGAAAACUACGGGCUUAACUUGUAGACUGCAGCUGAUACUGGUUGACUAGAGAAUAGUUGCGGUAGGCGGAAUGCGUGGUGUAGCGGUGAAAUGCAUAGAGAUCACGCAGAACUCCGAUUGCGAAGGCAGCUUACCAAGCUACAUCUGACACUGAAGCACGAAAGCGUGGGGAUCAAACAGGAUUAGAUACCCGAGUAGUC
Molecule: ribosomal RNA, 441 nt
Filed under: uncultured bacterium
Lineage: Bacteria
Description: partial 16S ribosomal RNA
Rfam family: Bacterial small subunit ribosomal RNA
Source: RNAcentral